Molecule: transfer RNA, 76 nt
Rfam family: tRNA
About the family: Transfer RNA (tRNA) molecules are approximately 80 nucleotides in length.
GACGACGUAGCCAAAUGGGAAGGCUGCGGUCUGCAAAACCGCCAUCGAGCGUGUUCGAUUCACGCCGUCGUCUCCA